Molecule: ribosomal RNA, 404 nt
Filed under: uncultured Phenylobacterium sp.
Lineage: Bacteria; Pseudomonadati; Pseudomonadota; Alphaproteobacteria; Caulobacterales; Caulobacteraceae
Description: bacterial SSU rRNA
Rfam family: Bacterial small subunit ribosomal RNA
Source: RNAcentral
UGGGGAAUCUUGCGCAAUGGGCGAAAGCCUGACGCAGCCAUGCCGCGUGGAUGAUGAAGGUCUUAGGAUUGUAAAAUCCUUUCACCGGGGACGAUAAUGACGGUACCCGGAGAAGAAGCCCCGGCUAACUUCGUGCCAGCAGCCGCGGUAAUACGAAGGGGGCUAGCGUUGCUCGGAAUUACUGGGCGUAAAGGGCGCGUAGGCGGACAGUUAAGUCGGGGGUGAAAGCCCGGGGCUCAACCUCGGAAUUGCCUUCGAUACUGGCUGUCUUGAGUGCGGGAGAGGUGUGUGGAACUCCGAGUGUAGAGGUGAAAUUCGUAGAUAUUCGGAAGAACACCAGUGGCGAAGGCGACACACUGGCCCGUUACUGACGCUGAGGCGCGAAAGCGUGGGGAGCAAACAGG